This 750-nucleotide ribosomal RNA is filed under the name uncultured fungus. RNAcentral's name for it is "eukaryotic LSU rRNA". The stretch from base 223 to 376 matches the Rfam family "5.8S ribosomal RNA". Lineage: Eukaryota; Fungi. RNAcentral also lists the same sequence under 1 other name. The record is from RNAcentral.
AGUUGUUGCUGGUUCUCUAGGGAGCAUGUGCACACUUGUCAUCUUUGUAUCUUCACCUGUGCACCUUUUGUAGACCUUGGGUAUCUCUCUGAUUGCUUAGCACUCAGGAUUGAGGAUUGACUUGUUGUCUCUUCUUACAUUUCCAGGUCUAUGUUUCUUCAUAUACCCUAAUGUAUGUUUAUAGAAUGUAAUUAAUGGGCCUUUGUGCCUAUAAAUCUAUACAACUUUCAGCAACGGAUCUCUUGGCUCUCGCAUCGAUGAAGAACGCAGCGAAAUGCGAUAAGUAAUGUGAAUUGCAGAAUUCAGUGAAUCAUCGAAUCUUUGAACGCACCUUGCGCUCCUUGGUAUUCCGAGGAGCAUGCCUGUUUGAGUGUCAUUAAUAUAUAUCAACCUCUUUGGUUGGAUGUGGGUUUGCUGGCCUCUUGAGGUCAGCUCCUCUUAAAUGCAUUAGCGGACAACAUUUUGCCAAGUGUUCAUUGGUGUGAUAAUUAUCUACGCUAUUGACAUGAAGCAGGCUCAGCUUCUAACAGUCCAUUGACUUGGACAAAUUUUAUUAAUGUGACCUCAAAUCAGGUAGGACUACCCGCUGAACUUAAGCAUAUCAAUAAGCGGAGGAAAAGAAACUAACAAGGAUUCCCCUAGUAACUGCGAGUGAAGCGGGAAAAGCUCAAAUUUAAAAUCUGGCAGUCUUUGGCUGUCCGAGUUGUAAUCUAGAGAAGCAUUAUCCGCGCUGGACCGUGUACAAAGUCA